AACGAACGCUGGCGGCAGGCCUAACACAUGCAAGUCGAGCGGACCUUUCGGGGUCAGCGGCGGACGGGUGAGUAACGCGUGGGAAUAUGCCCUUCUCUACGGAAUAGUCCUGGGAAACUGGGGGUAAUACCGGAUACGCCCUUUGGGGGAAAGAUUUAUCGGGGAAGGAUUAGCCCGCGUUGGAUUAGGUAGUUGGUGGGGUAAUGGCCUACCAAGCCGACGAUCCAUAGCUGGUUUGAGAGGAUGAUCAGCCACACUGGGACUGAGACACGGCCCAGACUCCUACGGGAGGCAGCAGUGGGGAAUCUUAGACAAUGGGCGCAAGCCUGAUCUAGCCAUGCCGCGUGAGUGAUGAAGGCCUUAGGGUUGUAAAGCUCUUUCAGCUGGGAAGAUAAUGACGGUACCAGCAGAAGAAGCCCCGGCUAACUCCGUG
RNAcentral lists this ribosomal RNA (433 nucleotides) under uncultured bacterium. RNAcentral's name for it is "partial 16S ribosomal RNA". It matches the Rfam family "Bacterial small subunit ribosomal RNA", at positions 29 to 507 of the family's 1533-position model. The record is from RNAcentral.